AGUGAACGCUGGCGGUAGGCCUAACACAUGCAAGUCGAACGGCAGCACAGUAAGAGCUUGCUCUUACGGGUGGCGAGUGGCGGACGGGUGAGGAAUACAUCGGCAUCUACUUUUUCGUGGGGGAUAACGUAGGGAAACUUACGCUAAUACCGCAUACGACCUACGGGUGAAAGCAGGGGAUCUUCGGACCUUGCGCGAUUGACUGAGCCGAUGUCGGAUUAGCUAGUUGGCGGGGUAAAGGCCCACCAAGGCGACGAUCCGUAGCUGGUCUGAGAGGAUGAUCAGCCACACUGGAACUGAGACACGGUCCAGACUCCUACGGGAGGCAGCAGUGGGGAAUAUUGGACAAUGGGCGCAAGCCUGAUCCAGCCAUACCGCGUGGGUGAAGAAGGCCUUCGGGUUGUAAAGCCCUUUUGUUGGGAAAGAAAAGCAGCAGGUUAAUACCCCGCUGUUCUGACGGUACCCAAAGAAUAAGCACCGGCUAACUUCGUG
RNAcentral lists this ribosomal RNA (492 nucleotides) under uncultured bacterium. RNAcentral's name for it is "partial 16S ribosomal RNA". It matches the Rfam family "Bacterial small subunit ribosomal RNA", at positions 29 to 507 of the family's 1533-position model. The record is from RNAcentral.